GAUCAUGGCUCAGGAUGAACGCUAGCUACAGGCUUAACACAUGCAAGUCGAGGGGCAGCAUGGUCUUAACUUGCUAAGACUGAUGGCGACCGGCGCACGGGUGAGUAACACGUAUCCAACCUGCCGUCUACUCUUGGACAGCCUUCUGAAAGGAAGAUUAAUACAAGAUGGCAUCAUGAGUCCGCAUGUUCACAUGAUUAAAGGUAUUCCGGUAGACGAUUGGG
Molecule: ribosomal RNA, 224 nt
Filed under: uncultured bacterium
Lineage: Bacteria
Description: partial 16S ribosomal RNA
Rfam family: Bacterial small subunit ribosomal RNA
Source: RNAcentral